CGUAGGGUGCGAGCGUUAAUCGGAAUUACUGGGCGUAAAGCGUGCGCAGGCGGUUCGUUAAGUCAGAUGUGAAAGCCCCGGGCUCAACCUGGGAACUGCAUUUGAAGCUGGCGGGCUUGAGUGCGGCAGAGGGGGGUGGAAUUCCGCGUGUAGCAGUGAAAUGCGUAGAGAUGCGGAGGAACACCGAUGGCGAAGGCAGCCCCCUGGGCCGACACUGACGCUCAGGCACGAAAGCGUGGGGAGCAAACAG
RNAcentral lists this ribosomal RNA (250 nucleotides) under uncultured bacterium. Its description in RNAcentral is "partial 16S ribosomal RNA". It matches the Rfam family "Bacterial small subunit ribosomal RNA", at positions 526 to 775 of the family's 1533-position model. The record is from RNAcentral.